Molecule: ribosomal RNA, 274 nt
Filed under: uncultured bacterium
Lineage: Bacteria
Description: partial 16S ribosomal RNA
Rfam family: Bacterial small subunit ribosomal RNA
Source: RNAcentral
AUACGGGGGGUGCGAGCGUUAAUCGGAAUUACUGGGCGUAAAGCGCGCGUAGGUGGUUUAGUAAGUCGGAUGUGAAAGCCCUGGGCUCAACCUGGGAAUUGCAUUCGAUACUGCUUGACUAGAGUAUGGUAGAGGGAAGUGGAAUUUCCGGUGUAGCGGUGAAAUGCGUAGAUAUCGGAAGGAACACCAGUGGCGAAGGCGACUUUCUGGGCCAAUACUGACGCUGAGGUGCGAAAGCGUGGGGAGCAAACAGGAUUAGAAACCCCGGUAGUCC